UGGGGAAUCUUGGACAAUGGGGGCAACCCUGAUCCAGCCAUGCCGCGUGAGUGAAGAAGGUCUUCGGAUCGUAAAGCUCUUUCAACGGUGAAGAUGAUGACGGUAGCCGUAGAAGAAGCCCCGGCUAACUUCGUGCCAGCAGCCGCGGUAAUACGAAGGGGGCAAGCGUUGUUCGGAAUUACUGGGCGUAAAGGGCGUGUAGGCGGUCUAAUCAGUCAGUGGUGAAAGCCCUGGGCUCAACCCAGGAAUUGCCUUUGAUACUGUCAGUCUUGAGUCCGGAAGAGGCGAGUGGAAUACCGAGUGUAGAGGUGAAAUUCGUAGAUAUUCGGUGGAACACCAGUGGCGAAGGCGACUCGCUGGUCCGGUACUGACGCUGAGGUGC
RNAcentral lists this ribosomal RNA (382 nucleotides) under uncultured bacterium. Its description in RNAcentral is "bacterial SSU rRNA". It matches the Rfam family "Bacterial small subunit ribosomal RNA", at positions 355 to 754 of the family's 1533-position model. The record is from RNAcentral.